UACGUAGGGAGCAAGCGUUGUCCGGAAUCAUUGGGCGUAAAGCGCGCGUAGGUGGCUUCGUAAGUCCGUUGUGAAAGUCAAAGGCUCAACCUUUGAAAGCCGAUGGAUACUGCGGAGCUAGAGUACGGAAGAGGCGAGUGGAAUUCCUGGUGUAGCGGUGGAAUGCGCAGAUAUCAGGAAGAACACCCGUGGCGAAGGCGGCUCUCUGGUACGUGACUGACGCUGAGACGCGAAAGCGUGGGGAGCGAACAGG
RNAcentral lists this ribosomal RNA (253 nucleotides) under uncultured bacterium. RNAcentral describes it as "partial 16S ribosomal RNA". It matches the Rfam family "Bacterial small subunit ribosomal RNA", at positions 524 to 776 of the family's 1533-position model. The record is from RNAcentral.